Molecule: long non-coding RNA, 850 nt
Filed under: Elaeis guineensis (African oil palm)
Lineage: Eukaryota; Viridiplantae; Streptophyta; Magnoliopsida; Arecales; Arecaceae
Description: long non-coding RNA (EGUI_LNC036725)
Source: RNAcentral
CCACGAUGAUUGGUUGCAGGCUCGAAUACCAGUAGCAGAUGGCCUUCCUCAGGGUCGAAGGAAAAGCCUAGCAAAGGGUUGUGUCAGUUGCUCCUUGUAGGAGCAUAAGGGAUUUAAAAUUUUCUAAAUAGUUCCAUCGUAUGGCUCCAAUUGAGACAUUUUGAAUUGAGACAGUAACGAUUCACUCAUGAUCCUCUAUGUGAAUGGCGGGUCUAUGUUGAAAUCCAGAUCGGUGUCCUGUUGCCGUGGUGCUUGUAGCGCAUCAAUCCAUUGCUCCCAGAGCCUUCUCUCCAAGUCGUCCUCCCGAGUUGGGGAGCGGCGAGGAGAAAAGUAACCUGGUGUCAAAUCUCUUCUUGAGAUCAGGGUGGACGAUCGUCUAUGCCUCUGUGAAACUAGACUAUCAGGUCAGCUAAGACGGCUGGCACCCACCCUUGGGCUAUGGAGAGGUUGGUCAGCCGACCUUCCUAGGACAAGUUGUGGAAUCUCUAGAGCGGGAUGAGACUCGGUAUUCUACUACAUCCCCCUCACUACGCCUGAAAAAGUCUGCACCUGUUGGACGAGGCUAUUGUACUGGUCCUGAGAGACCACCGAUGCUGCUGGUAGGAGAUUCUCUUGGAUAGGCGAUGGAGGCAUGUUCUCCGACAGGGCAUUAUUGGCCUACCUACCAUUAGAACAAUACAACGCAUUCGAUGCUCUCCUUCGUAUCUUCAUGGCGAUCUACGGUAAACUCUCUUCUCUCAGAACAAGAUCCCGAAGUUAGUUGUGGGGCCCUUCCUCUAGCACCAAGUGUUGCUUUCGAUCUCUGUGCUUAAGAUCGGAUAGCUGAAGCGAAGAUGGCCGAAGUAAUGCU